AACCAUAAAAUCUGAACCAUUUGAUGAUAAUAGCCUCGAACAGGAUUCUAGCGGUACUAAAGCCAAUCCAACAGUACCAUUAGGUUUUAGACCAGUGUCAGUGAAGUGUGAAUUAGUUGAGAAGCUUGCUCAAGAUCCCCUCAAGGCAUUAAAUUUUAGCACUGUGAAACCAGUUGAUGCUAAAUCUAUGAAAUCUGAACCAUUUCAUGAGGGUAAUUCAGAAACACCAAAGACAGUAGAUGGGACGUCACACCAAUCUGAUAAGCAGGUGCUACAUGGUGAGGAUACCGGAGGACAAUCCACUUGUUCAACAAAUGAACAUAUUCUACAAGGUCAGGACAUAACAGGACAACCUACUUGUUCAACAAAUAAACAUGCACUGCAAGUUCAGGAUACUGGAGGACAACCUACU
This 412-nucleotide unclassified non-coding RNA is filed under the name Hevea brasiliensis (rubber tree). The record is from RNAcentral. Lineage: Eukaryota; Viridiplantae; Streptophyta; Magnoliopsida; Malpighiales; Euphorbiaceae.